GGCACAGCUGGGUAGCUAUGUGCGGUUAAGAUAAGUGCUGAAGGCAUCUAAGCACGAAGCCAACCUCAAGAUAAGAUAUCCCAUACGCAAGUAGUAAGACCCCAUUAAGAACAAGUGGUAGAUAGGCAAGGAGUGGAAGUGCAGUAAUGUAUGUAGCUGACUUGUACUAAUAGGUCGAGGACUUAACCUA
RNAcentral lists this non-coding RNA (190 nucleotides) under Peptostreptococcaceae bacterium AS15. RNAcentral describes it as "Eubacterium sp. AS15b Bacterial large subunit ribosomal RNA". It matches the Rfam family "Bacterial large subunit ribosomal RNA", at positions 2734 to 2925 of the family's 2925-position model. Lineage: Bacteria; Bacillati; Bacillota; Clostridia; Peptostreptococcales; Peptostreptococcaceae. The record is from Rfam by way of RNAcentral.